RNAcentral lists this ribosomal RNA (440 nucleotides) under uncultured bacterium. Its description in RNAcentral is "partial 16S ribosomal RNA". It matches the Rfam family "Bacterial small subunit ribosomal RNA", at positions 338 to 795 of the family's 1533-position model. The record is from RNAcentral.
CCUACGGGGGGCAGCAGUGGGGGAUAUUGCACAAUGGGGGAAACCCUGAUGCAGCGACGCCGCGUGGGUGAAGAAGCGCCUCGGCGCGUAAAGCCCUGUCAGCAGGGAAGAAAAUGACGGUACCUGAAGAAGAAGCCCCGGCUAACUACGUGCCAGCAGCCGCGGUAAUACGUAGGGGGCAAGCGUUAUCCGGAUUGACUGGGUGUAAAGGGGGCGCAGACGGGGAUGCAAGCCAGGAGUGAAAGCCCGGGGCCCAACCCCGGGACUGCUCGUGGAACUGCGUGGCUAGAGUGCAGGAGGGGCAGGCGGAAUUCCUGGUGUAGCGGUGAAAUGCGUAGAUAUCAGGAGGAACACUGGUGGCGAAGGCGGCCUGCUGGACUGCAACUGACGUUGAGGCCCGAAAGCGUGGGGAGCAAACAGGAUUAGAUACCCGUGUAGUC